RNAcentral lists this unclassified non-coding RNA (199 nucleotides) under rhizosphere metagenome. RNAcentral describes it as "partial ribosomal RNA internal transcribed spacer region". The record is from RNAcentral.
GUUGGUGAACCAGCGGAGGGAUCAUUAAAGAGUUGCAAAACUCCCACAACCAUCGCGAACGUUACCCGUAACCGUUGCCUCGGCGGCGUCGGCCCUCCGGGGUCGCCCGCCGGCGGCACCUGAAACUAUGUUUUUGUAGGCCUCUCUGAGUAACUUAUCAAAUAAGUCAAAACUUUUAACAACGGAUCUCUUGGUUCUG